GUACUGAGACACGGACCAGACUCCUACGGGAGGCAGCAGUGAGGAAUAUUGGUCAAUGGGCGCAGGCCUGAACCAGCCAUGCCGCGUGCAGGAAGACGGUCCUAUGGAUUGUAAACUGCUUUUAUACAGGAAGAAACCCUCCCACGUGUGGGAGAUUGACGGUACUGUAGGAAUAAGGAUCGGCUAACUCCGUGCCAGCAGCCGCGGUAAUACGGAGGAUCCAAGCGUUAUCCGGAAUCAUUGGGUUUAAAGGGUCCGUAGGCGGUCUUAUAAGUCAGUGGUGAAAUCCCAUCGCUCAACGAUGGAACUGCCAUUGAUACUGUAAGACUUGAAUACUUAGGAAGUAACUAGAAUAUGUAGUGUAGCGGUGAAAUGCUUAGAUAUUACAUGGAAUACCAAUUGCGAAGGCAGGUUACUACUAAGUGAUUGACGAUGAUGGACGAAAGCGUGGGGAGCGAACAGGAUUAGAUACCCUGGUAGUCCACGCCGUAAACGAUGGAUACUAGCUGUUCGGAGCAAUCUGAGUGGCUAAGCGAAAGUGAUAAGUAUCCCACCUGGGGAGUACGCACGCAAGUGUGAAACUCAAAGGAAUUGACGG
This 598-nucleotide ribosomal RNA is filed under the name uncultured Bacteroidota bacterium. Its description in RNAcentral is "bacterial SSU rRNA". It matches the Rfam family "Bacterial small subunit ribosomal RNA", at positions 316 to 916 of the family's 1533-position model. Lineage: Bacteria; Pseudomonadati; Bacteroidota. The record is from RNAcentral.